This 508-nucleotide ribosomal RNA is filed under the name uncultured bacterium. Its description in RNAcentral is "partial 16S ribosomal RNA". It matches the Rfam family "Bacterial small subunit ribosomal RNA", at positions 28 to 505 of the family's 1533-position model. The record is from RNAcentral.
GACGAACGCUGGCGGCGUGCUUAACACAUGCAAGUCGAACGAAGAGCGAUGGAAGCUUGCUUCUCUCAAUCUUAGUGGCGAACGGGUGAGUAACGCGUAAUCAACCUGCCCUUCAGAGGGGGACAACAGUUGGAAACGACUGCUAAUACCGCAUACGAUCUAAUCUCGGCAUCGAGGAUAGAUGAAAGGUGGCCUCUACAUGUAAGCUAUCACUGAAGGAGGGGAUUGCGUCUGAUUAGCUAGUUGGAGGGGUAACGGCCCACCAAGGCGAUGAUCAGUAGCCGGUCUGAGAGGAUGAACGGCCACAUUGGGACUGAGACACGGCCCAGACUCCUACGGGAGGCAGCAGGGGGGAAUCUUCCGCAAUGGACGAAAGUCUGACGGAGCAACGCCGCGUGAGUGAUGACGGCCUUCGGGUUGUAAAGCUCUGUUAAUCGGGACGAAAGGCCUUCUUGCGAAUAGUGAGAAGGAUUGACGGGACCGGAAUAGAAAGCCACGGCUAACGACG